CGCACAUUGCGCCCUUUGGUAUUCCGAAGGGCACAUCUGUUCGAGCGUCAUUACACCUAAUCAAGUUUAACUUGGUAAUUGAAUGGACAUACUUGUCUUGAAAUACAGACACAUUCAAAAGAUAUCUAGCAGUACCUAAUAGGUCUCAAGCGUAACAAAUUGAAAUCGUUUGUCAGACUUUAUUUGGAACUUGCAUUUCUACAUAUAUUUUAAAGGUUGACCUCGAAUCAGAUGGGGAUACCCGCUGAACUUAA
This 254-nucleotide unclassified non-coding RNA is filed under the name Pseudorobillarda sp. RNAcentral's name for it is "partial contains 5.8S ribosomal RNA, internal transcribed spacer 2, and large subunit ribosomal RNA". Lineage: Eukaryota; Fungi; Ascomycota; Dothideomycetes; Pleosporales. The record is from RNAcentral.